AUGCUAAAGCAUCCGCGAAAACGGCCGCACAAGAAGCUCGGGGAGUACUUCAAUGGAGGGGGAGUCGGAUACAAGCUCAAUCAUAGGAAAAGUGCAGAGAGACACGGAGUAAGACACGGCCCAAGGCUUAGAAGCACUUGCGGUGGACGAUCGAGGGGCCAGAUUCAUCGUACUCUCCCUUGGAUAUCCACCUGCUGGAAUGUGCUGAGGGAGGCAAGGAUGGAGCCACCGAUCCAGACACUGUACUUCCUCUCUGGAGGCGCCACGACCUUAAUCUUCAUGCUGCUCGGCGCGAGGGCGGUGAUCUCCUUGCUCAUCCUGUCUGCAAUGCCGGGGAACAUGGUCGUCCCUCCACUGAGCACAAUGUUGCCGUACAGGUCCUUCCUGAUAUCCACGUCGCACUUCAUGAUGGAGUUGUAG
Molecule: ribosomal RNA, 420 nt
Filed under: Triticum aestivum (bread wheat)
Lineage: Eukaryota; Viridiplantae; Streptophyta; Magnoliopsida; Poales; Poaceae
Description: partial small subunit ribosomal RNA
Source: RNAcentral